GGGCCGUCCCCAUACCCCGUCCGGUAUGGGCGCCAAAACACAUAAGAUCUCCAUACCCCGUCCGGUAUGGGAGACCACAAUCCCGGUAGGGUUCCCUACGGACCCGGUCCGUCCACCAUCUCCCAGGAUAUCUAGUCAGGCUGACCACAUUAUACAAUUACCCAUUUACAUAAUCUUUCAUUCUCUUUUUCCUCAGUCAGCAUCAUCAAUCCACAUACAAACAAGCAAAACGGUAAUUUAUGCCAAACAGACAACAUACAGCAUCAAUAUCCCAGUCAUUCAAUCCAUAAUCAAUAAAACAGUAAAAUAUGCACACGAAACUAUAAAAUGAAAACAUCAAACCUCAUACUGCAUUUAAAA
RNAcentral lists this long non-coding RNA (360 nucleotides) under Carica papaya (papaya). RNAcentral describes it as "long non-coding RNA (CPAP_LNC001992)". Lineage: Eukaryota; Viridiplantae; Streptophyta; Magnoliopsida; Brassicales; Caricaceae. The record is from RNAcentral.